GACAGCCAGGAUGUUGGCUUAGAAGCAGCCAUCAUUUAAAGAAAGCGUAAUAGCUCACUGGUCGAGUCGGCCUGCGCGGAAGAUGUAACGGGGCUAAACCAUGCACCGAAGCUGCGGCAGCGACGCUUAUGCGUUGUUGGGUAGGGGAGCGUUCUGUAAGCCUGCGAAGGUGGCCUGUGAGGGGCCUGCGCGGAGGAAGUAACGGGGCAAAACCAUGCGCCGAAGGUGGUGGCGGGUGUAUU
Molecule: ribosomal RNA, 242 nt
Filed under: Salmonella enterica subsp. enterica serovar Goldcoast
Lineage: Bacteria; Pseudomonadati; Pseudomonadota; Gammaproteobacteria; Enterobacterales; Enterobacteriaceae
Description: partial 23S ribosomal RNA
Rfam family: Bacterial large subunit ribosomal RNA (bases 1-204)
Source: RNAcentral